UCGGGAAUCUUGCACAAUGGGCGAAAGCCUGAUGCAGCAACACCGUGUGAGCGAUGAAGGCCCUAGGGUCGUAAAGCUCUGUUGUUAGGGACGAAGGGCGAAGGGUUAAUAGCCCCUAGCUUGACGGUACCUUUCGAGGAAGCCCCGGCUAACUACGUGCCAGCAGCCGCGGUAAUACGUAGGGGGCGAGCGUUGUCCGGAAUUAUUGGGCGUAAAGAGCGUGUAGGCGGUCUGGUAAGUCUGUCGUGAAAGGCUGGGGCUCAACCCUGGACGUGCGAUGGAUACUGCCAGACUAGAGGAUGGUAGAGGCGAGUGGAAUUCCCAGUGUAGCGGUGAAAUGCGCAGAUAUUGGGAGGAACACCAGUAGCGAAGGCGGCUCGCUGGACCAUACCUGACGCUG
RNAcentral lists this ribosomal RNA (400 nucleotides) under uncultured bacterium. RNAcentral's name for it is "bacterial SSU rRNA". It matches the Rfam family "Bacterial small subunit ribosomal RNA", at positions 355 to 748 of the family's 1533-position model. The record is from RNAcentral.